RNAcentral lists this ribosomal RNA (694 nucleotides) under uncultured bacterium. RNAcentral describes it as "bacterial SSU rRNA". It matches the Rfam family "Bacterial small subunit ribosomal RNA", at positions 48 to 754 of the family's 1533-position model. The record is from RNAcentral.
CUAACACAUGCAAGUUGAGCGGAGGUAGAUGGAGCUUGCUCUAUGUACCUUAGCAGCGAACGGGUGAGUAACACGUAGAUAAUCUGUCCUAUAUUGGGGGAUAGCCCGAUGAAAGUUGGAUUAAUACCGCAUACAGCUAUAUAGUUGCAUGAUUAUAUAGUGAAAGAUUUAUUGAUAUAGGAGGAGUCUGCGGCACAUUAGCUAGUAGGUGAGGUAAGAGCUUACCUAGGCGACGAUGUGUAGCCGGUCUGAGAGGAUGAACGGCCACAAUGGAACUGAGACACGGUCCAUACUCCUACGGGAGGCAGCAGUGGGGAAUAUUGCACAAUGGGGGAAACCCUGAUGCAGCAACGCCGCGUGAGUGAAGAAGGUUUUCGGAUUGUAAAGCUCUGUUAGCAGGGAAAAGGAAGGACGGUACCUGCAGAGGAAGCCACGGCUAACUACGUGCCAGCAGCCGCGGUAAUACGUAGGUGGCAAGCGUUGUUCGGAAUAACUGGGCGUAAAGGAUGCGUAGGCGGUUAAAUAAGUUAUAUGUUAAAUAUAUAGGCUUAACCUGUAGAAAGCAUAUAAAACUGUUUAACUAGAGUGCAGGAGAGGUAAGUGGAAUUCCUAGUGUAGCGGUGAAAUGCGUAGAGAUUAGGAAGAACACCAGUGGCGAAGGCGACUUACUGGACUGUAACUGACGCUGAGGCAU